RNAcentral lists this ribosomal RNA (253 nucleotides) under uncultured bacterium. RNAcentral describes it as "partial 16S ribosomal RNA". It matches the Rfam family "Bacterial small subunit ribosomal RNA", at positions 524 to 776 of the family's 1533-position model. The record is from RNAcentral.
UACGUAGGGUGCGAGCGUUACUCGGAAUUACUGGGCGUAAAGCGUGCGCAGGCGGUUUGCUAAGACCGAUGUGAAAUCCCCGGGCUUAACCUGGGAACUGCAUUGGUGACUGGCGGGCUAGAGUAUGGCAGAGGGGGGUAGAAUUCCACGUGUAGCAGUGAAAUGCGUAGAGAUGUGGAGGAAUACCGAUGGCGAAGGCAGCCCCCUGGGCCAAUACUGACGCUCAUGCACGAAAGCGUGGGGAGCAAACAGG